RNAcentral lists this ribosomal RNA (467 nucleotides) under uncultured bacterium. RNAcentral describes it as "partial 16S ribosomal RNA". It matches the Rfam family "Bacterial small subunit ribosomal RNA", at positions 28 to 507 of the family's 1533-position model. The record is from RNAcentral.
GACGAACGCUGGCGGCGUGCUUAACACAUGCAAGUCCGGGGGCGGGGUAACCCGUCACCGGCGAACGGGUGCGGAACACGUGAGCGACCUGCCCUGGUGUGGGGGAUAGCCGGCCCAACGGCCGGUUAAUACCGCAUACGGCGCCCGCUUGGAAGCGGUAGGCGAAACUCGCAAGAGGCGCUAGGAGGGGCUCGCGGCCUAUCAGCUAGUUGGUGCGGUAACGGCGCACCAAGGCGAUGACGGGUAGCUGGUCUGAGAGGAUGGCCAGCCACAUGGGGACUGAGAGACGGCCCAGACGCCUACGGGAGGAAGCAGUGGGGAAUAUUGCGAAAUGGGCGAAAGCCUGACGCAGCGAAGCCGCGUGGAGGAUGAGGCCCUUCGGGGUGUAAACUCCUGUUGCCCGGGACGAAUGCACCGCAUCGGAGGGGUUGACGGUACCGGGUGAGGAAGCACCGGCUAACUCUGUG